AUGAACGCUGGCGGCGUGCCUAAUACCUGCAAGUCGAGCGAACGGACGAGAAGCUUGCUUCUCUGAUGUUAGCGGCGGACGGGUGAGUAACACGUGGAUAACCUACCCAUAAGACUGGGAUAACUUCGGGAAACCGGAGCUAAUACCGGAUAAUAUUUUGAACCGCAUGGUUCAAAAGUGAAAGACGGUCUUGCUGUCACUUAUAGAUGGAUCCGCGCUGCAUUAGCUAGUUGGUAAGGUAACGGCUUACCAAGGCAACGAUGCAUAGCCGACCUGAGAGGGUGAUCGGCCACACUGGAACUGAGACACGGUCCAGACUCCUACGGGAGGCAGCAGUAGGGAAUCUUCCGCAAUGGGCGAAAGCCUGACGGAGCAACGCCGCGUGAGUGAUGAAGGUCUUCGGAUCGUAAAACUCUGUUAUUAGGGAAGAACAUAUGUGUAAGUAACUGUGCACAUCUUGACGGUACCUAAUCAGAAAGCCACGGCUAACUACGUG
RNAcentral lists this ribosomal RNA (496 nucleotides) under uncultured bacterium. Its description in RNAcentral is "partial 16S ribosomal RNA". It matches the Rfam family "Bacterial small subunit ribosomal RNA", at positions 29 to 507 of the family's 1533-position model. The record is from RNAcentral.